Long non-coding RNA from Bombus terrestris (buff-tailed bumblebee), 978 nucleotides. RefSeq lists it as uncharacterized. Lineage: Eukaryota; Metazoa; Arthropoda; Insecta; Hymenoptera; Apidae. The record is from RefSeq and is a predicted model, not a curated record. The transcript is spliced from 2 exons.
AUACUACUUCCCCCACUACCUGAGGGACUUUUUCCCUUAAUUCCCUUGAUCUGGUAACGCUGCUCAGGACCAGGGUUUCCGGAGGGGUUCCUCGCACAAGCAGAGGUCGUCAACCGCCACUUUCGAUACAACCAUAAAGGACGGUCUCCUCUACAAAAUAUUCGAAAUUCGACAAAAUCAAAGUUAAGGCUUCCUUCUCUGCAUAAUUACCGGGGAUUGGAAUCGAGCAGAACGAAACUGGGAAUGUUAGCCAGAAAAAGUACCAGAAUAUACAUCUUGGCAAUUGAAAGGAUCGAGGAAGGCAGAUGCCCUAACAUCUGCUCAACAAAGAAAAAAAAAUAUUCGGAAUGGUUGACCCUCGGAAUGGGACAAGCAACUGCUUGGAGCCCUCAACGAAGUAGGGGAUGGGGAGAUGGGCAAGCUGCCAUCGCCUGAGCAGGAGUACAAAGAGCUGGGAAAUAAAAGAUGAAUUAUGCAAGAGGAUAGAGCGUGUUAUUCGAGAAGAUUGAAGCAGAGUCGACAUACUACAGUGAAUACCGGUUAAGAAAGAAAAAAGUGGCGGUCGAAAAAUACUGAAUGAAAAAUGGAGUCGUAGGGGCAGUGGACAAAGACUUAGAGGCCAGGGCUACACGAGCGUUGAGCCGGUGCUGUGUUGCGUAGCUACAUACAUGCACGCUAAAUGUUCUACAAGGCUCACGCGUGUGUGCGUGCGGUUCUACAACGCAGGGUCGAUCUAACACUCGUGUAGCCCCGAUCUUAGGUGCGAAAACGUUGGGGGGACAAGACGGUAUGCUGAGUAAAAGAACCUAAAGCAUAGGUUGUGGGAGCUGGAGGAAGAGAGUUUUCGUCACAUGUAACUAUGCAACGGAAUGCAGGGAAGCGGGGCAAGGAGGCAGAGAUUUGGAUGCGGGACAUGAUGGGAAAUGACGAAUGAAAGGAGGAUAUGAAUGAUGUAUUACAAGGAAGAUUGGUGAGAGA